RNAcentral lists this transfer RNA (63 nucleotides) under Gralliclava horrens. RNAcentral describes it as "tRNA-Ala". It matches the Rfam family "tRNA". Rfam says of the family: Transfer RNA (tRNA) molecules are approximately 80 nucleotides in length. Their secondary structure includes four short double-helical elements and three loops (D, anti-codon, and T loops). The record is from RNAcentral. Lineage: Eukaryota; Metazoa; Arthropoda; Insecta; Hemiptera; Coreidae.
GGGGAUGUAGUUAAAAAUAACAUCUAAUUUGCAAUUAGAAAGAACUAAUUAAAGUCUUCCUCA